CACGGGGGGAGCAAGCGUUGUUCGGAAUCACUGGGCGUAAAGGGCGUGUAGGCGGUUUGGUAAGUGAGAUGUGAAAUGCUUCGGCUCACCCGAAGACCUGCAUCUCAAACUGCCGGACUAGAGUAUGGGAGAGGACAAGGGAAUUCCUGGUGUAGCGGUGAAAUGCGUAGAUAUCAGGAGGAACACCGGUGGCGAAAGCGCUUGUCUGGCCCAAUACUGACGCUGAGGCGCGAAAGCUAGGGGAGCAAACGGG
Molecule: ribosomal RNA, 253 nt
Filed under: uncultured bacterium
Lineage: Bacteria
Description: partial 16S ribosomal RNA
Rfam family: Bacterial small subunit ribosomal RNA
Source: RNAcentral